GCUGGCGGAAUGCUUUACACAUGCAAGUCGAACGGCAGCACGGGGGCAACCUGGUGGCGAGUGGCGAACGGGUGAGUAAUACAUCGGAACGUGCCCAGUCGUGGGGGAUAACGUAGCGAAAGCUACGCUAAUACCGCAUACGAUCUAUGGAUGAAAGCGGGGGACCGUAAGGCCUCGCGCGAUUGGAGCGGCCGAUGGCAGAUUAGGUAGUUGGUGGGGUAAAGGCCUACCAAGCCGACGAUCUGUAGCUGGUCUGAGAGGACGACCAGCCACACUGGGACUAGACACGGCCCAGACUCCUACGGGAGGCAGCAGUGGGGAAUUUUGGACAAUGGGCGCAAGCCUGAUCCAGCCAUUCCGCGUGCAGGAUGAAGGCCCUCGGGUUGUAAACUGCUUUUGUACGGAACGAAAAGGCUCUGGUUAAUACCUGGGGCUGAUGACGGUACCGUAAGAAUAAGCACCGGCUAACUACGUGCCAGCAGCCGCGGUAAUACGUAGGGUGCGAGCGUUAAUCGGAAUUACUGGGCGUAAAGCGUGCGCAGGCGGUGAUGUAAGACAGGUGUGAAAUCCCCGGGCUUAACCUGGGAACUGCAUUUGUGACUGCAUUGCUGGAGUGCGGCAGAGGGGGAUGGAAUUCCGCGUGUAGCAGUGAAAUGCGUAGAUAUGCGGAGGAACACCGAUGGCGAAGGCAAUCCCCUGGGCCUGCACUGACGCUCAUGCACGAAAGCGUGGGGAGCAAACAGGAUUAGAUACCCUGGUAGUCCACGCCGUAAACGAUGAGUGCUAAGUGUUAGAGGGUUUCCGCCCUUUAGUGCUGCAGCUAACGCAUUAAGCACUCCGCCUGGGGAGUACGGCCGCAAGGCUGAA
This 867-nucleotide ribosomal RNA is filed under the name uncultured bacterium. RNAcentral's name for it is "bacterial SSU rRNA". It matches the Rfam family "Bacterial small subunit ribosomal RNA", at positions 35 to 898 of the family's 1533-position model. The record is from RNAcentral.